Molecule: unclassified non-coding RNA, 289 nt
Filed under: Hevea brasiliensis (rubber tree)
Lineage: Eukaryota; Viridiplantae; Streptophyta; Magnoliopsida; Malpighiales; Euphorbiaceae
Source: RNAcentral
AGAAGAAGAAGGAGGAGGAGGAAAGGAGAGAAUGUGGUGAUCCUUAAUGCUGAGAAUAUGGUUCUCUCCAUUUUAUGCACCAUUCUUUCAGUUUGUCAGUUACCUUACUCAUUGCAUGCACCUUAUAGUUUACUGACUGAUGUUGUAAAUUGUCUUCCAUCAACAAAUUAUUAAUGCUGACCGCCAGAUAUUAGGCUCUUUACUACAAUGCCUCUGUUGUAAAACAGUCAAAGGCAAGGAAUGUCGCUUCAUAUGGUGGAUGAAUGGGUUAAAUCGCUACUUUGGUCUG